UUUGAUCAUGGCUCAGAUUGAACGCUGGCGGCAGGCCUAACACAUGCAAGUCGAGCGGCAGCACAGAGGAACUUGUUCCUUGGGUGGCGAGCGGCGGACGGGUGAGUAAUGCCUGGGAAAUUGCCCGGUAGAGGGGGAUAACCAUUGGAAACGAUGGCUAAUACCGCAUAACCUCGCAAGAGCAAAGCAGGGGACCUUCGGGCCUUGCGCUACCGGAUAUGCCCAGGUGGGAUUAGCUAGUUGGUGAGGUAAGGGCUCACCAAGGCGACGAUCCCUAGCUGGUCUGAGAGGAUGAUCAGCCACACUGGAACUGAGACACGGUCCAGACUCCUACGGGAGGCAGCAGUGGGGAAUAUUGCACAAUGGGCGCAAGCCUGAUGCAGCCAUGCCGCGUGUAUGAAGAAGGCCUUCGGGUUGUAAAGUACUUUCA
This 430-nucleotide ribosomal RNA is filed under the name Vibrio cholerae. RNAcentral's name for it is "bacterial SSU rRNA". It matches the Rfam family "Bacterial small subunit ribosomal RNA", at positions 12 to 438 of the family's 1533-position model. The record is from RNAcentral. Lineage: Bacteria; Pseudomonadati; Pseudomonadota; Gammaproteobacteria; Vibrionales; Vibrionaceae.